UUAAAAAGCUCGUAGUUGAACCUUGGGCCUAGCCGGCCGGUCCGCCUCACCGCGUGCACUGGCUCGGCUGGGUCUUUCCUUCUGGAUAACCUCAUGCCCUUCACUGGGUGUGCUGGGGACCAGGACUUUUACUCUGAACAAAUUAGAUCGCUUAAAGAAGGCCUUUGCUCGAAUACAUUAGCAUGGAAUAAUAGAAUAGGACGUGUGGUUCUAUUUUGUUGGUUUCUAGGACCGCCGUAAUGAUUAAUAGGGACAGUCGGGGG
RNAcentral lists this ribosomal RNA (263 nucleotides) under uncultured Ascomycota. RNAcentral describes it as "partial 18S ribosomal RNA". It matches the Rfam family "Eukaryotic small subunit ribosomal RNA", at positions 619 to 888 of the family's 1831-position model. Lineage: Eukaryota; Fungi; Ascomycota. The record is from RNAcentral.